Molecule: long non-coding RNA, 286 nt
Filed under: Musa acuminata (dwarf banana)
Lineage: Eukaryota; Viridiplantae; Streptophyta; Magnoliopsida; Zingiberales; Musaceae
Description: long non-coding RNA (MACU_LNC006799)
Source: RNAcentral
GAAAUGAGCUUCUAAUCAUUCCAUGGUGGUGGAAACUCAUUCAUGAUUAUGGACAAGGUAUUCUGAUCCUUCUUGUUGUCUCUGCUAAUUCUAUUACACUGGCCUAAUGCCUUGAACUUGUUUCAGAGCCCAAGGGAUUGUCAUAGACAGAGAAGAGUGAGCGAAAAUAAGAUAAAUGGAGAAGAAAACCUUGUGAAGCUUCGAAAGUUGAGUUUUUCCAAUUGGUUUUGAUUAGCUUAAAUCUCAAUCGUAUUCUUUAUGAAGUUAAAUGCAGGGCUGCUUAUCC